UUGCAUAACUAAUUGCAUAAC
This 21-nucleotide non-coding RNA is filed under the name Caenorhabditis elegans. The record is from RNAcentral. Lineage: Eukaryota; Metazoa; Nematoda; Chromadorea; Rhabditida; Rhabditidae.